AGUCGUAACAAGGUCUCCGUAGGUGAACCUGCGGAGGGAUCAUUACACAAAUAUGAAGGCGGGCUGGAACCUCUCGGGGUUACAGCCUUGCUGAAUUAUUCACCCUUGUCUUUUGCGUACUUCUUGUUUCCUUGGUGGGUUCGCCCACCACUAGGACAAACAUAAACCUUUUGUAAUUGCAAUCAGCGUCAGUAACAAAUUAAUAAUUACAACUUUCAACAACGGAUCUCUUGGUUCUGGCAUCGAUGAAGAACGCAGCGAAAUGCGAUAAGUAGUGUGAAUUGCAGAAUUCAGUGAAUCAUCGAAUCUUUGAACGCACAUUGCGCCCUUUGGUAUUCCAAAGGGCAUGCCUGUUCGAGCGUCAUUUGUACCCUCAAGCUUUGCUUGGUGUUGGGCGUCUUGUCUCUAGCUUUGCUGGAGACUCGCCUUAAAGUAAUUGGCAGCCGGCCUACUGGUUUCGGAGCGCAGCACAAGUCGCACUCUCUAUCAGCAAAGGUCUAGCAUCCAUUAAGCCUUUUUUUCAACUUUUGACCUCGGAUCAGGUAGGGAUACCCGCUGAACUUAAGCAUAUCAAUAAAGUAAAAGUCG
This 588-nucleotide ribosomal RNA is filed under the name uncultured fungus. RNAcentral's name for it is "eukaryotic LSU rRNA". The stretch from base 211 to 364 matches the Rfam family "5.8S ribosomal RNA". Lineage: Eukaryota; Fungi. The record is from RNAcentral.